Long non-coding RNA from Chenopodium quinoa (quinoa), 471 nucleotides. RefSeq lists it as uncharacterized. The transcript has 3 exons. Lineage: Eukaryota; Viridiplantae; Streptophyta; Magnoliopsida; Caryophyllales; Amaranthaceae. The record is from RefSeq and is a predicted model, not a curated record.
UGUGCGUCAAGUAGACAAGCAAGUAGAGGAAUUGCUGCGUAGAAAACUGUGAUUUGGACAGCAGAUGGUAAUUGCUAGGAAUAUCCAGGAAGUCCAGCUAAACAAGUGAUAAGAUUGUUCUUGGUAUUUGGUUGAGCUGUAAAAUCAGAUUGCGGGAUAUACUCAAAACGUUCAUUUGAGAUAGUUAUCAGUGCACUAAACUGAGAGAGCGAGUGAUAGUAUAUCAGAUAUAGAUCAGUGUUUUUGUUCUUUUUUUCCCUCUUUUAACAAGCUGUAACGACUAGCUAGUCGAAUUUCAUGUACUCAUUACGUAUAUUUUACUUUGUUAUUUUGUCCUCAGAUUGUAUGCUGUGAGGCUUUCUUUGAUUUAUAGUGUGAAACAAUAGCGGGAUAUCCAUCUCGGAUUCCCUUUAAAUAAGUUUACUGGAUACUCAAAAUUCAUUUGUGUUGAAGAUGUAUGUUUUUGAAGCA